Molecule: long non-coding RNA, 781 nt
Filed under: Marmota monax (woodchuck)
Lineage: Eukaryota; Metazoa; Chordata; Mammalia; Rodentia; Sciuridae
Source: RNAcentral
UGAACUUUCAGCUUUAAAAUUUAAAGAAAAGCUUAAAUGCCAUGCAAAUUAUAAAUAUGUGUGUGUUACAGCUGCCAAGUACAAUGCUUCUCUCUGGGAUUGGGAGAAGGUUAAAAACCAUUUGUUAGGUAUUUGGCAAAAUAAUAAUAAUAGCUUGGAUCUUCUGGAACUUCAUCACCAUAACCAAGACAUUCAAAAUAAUAGAGCCGAUUUUUCGGAUCCUUCUUCUUUGGCUAACCAAAUAUUGAAGGAGUUAAAUGGAUUUAACCCUGGAAAUAUUCUUAAACACUUGACCUGGUACAUUAUUGGAUUGUUCUCCUUGAUGUUAAUUCUCAUUUGUGUUGUAAUUAUAGGAUGGCGAGUCUUUGGAACAAGAAUGCAGAAACUCGAAAGAGUGAACCACCGCCUCAUUUUUAAGAGAAAAAAGGGAGAAUAUGUGGGAAGCCAUUCUCACACGUGAUUGGGCACCUCCUGGAUUGGUUGUGAGGCGUUCUGGCCAAACUGUGUCGGAGCUAUCCACACCCUCUCCAGGUGCGAGAGCCUGUCAGUGUGGGGGUGUGACUGACCACUGACCCUGAGACCAAUCACUGACCCUGACCUUGGAAUGCUACCCCCCUCGACCUUCAUUGGAUGGAAUUUCCCCCUGAAUUUCUUGUUCCCCAAUAAAAGGCCACUCCCUGGCAUGCUCUCUCUCUCUCCUGCUAGUCCUGAGUAAGCCUUGCUGCCCCACCGGGUGGUUUGAGGGGAGAGCUGUCUCAGACCUGGUCAUAGAAAAAGGUAA